CUCUAGCCUGGGAACCUCCACGUGCAACCAACAAACAACCCUAAACAGCAAAAAAAAAAAAAUUAAAUUAAAUAUUUUUUUUUAAAGAAAAAUGAGUGUUUGGAAAAACCAACUGAAUAAAGUAACAGCAAAAAAAAAAAAAAAAAAUCAGGGAGGGAGAUGUACGCAAUUUUAGCUUUUUGAUGUGAGUGUUCACAGCAAGACAGUUGCCAGGCUGACGUUUGACUAGGUCAGCCUUUCACAGACUCUCUGAGGUCCGCUGAGCUGCGCACGCAAUCUGAUCUGUACUGAAAGGGCAAGGACUUCAGCUUCUAUAAUGGGGACAACUCACAAAAGAGCAUGUAUUUCAUGCGACAAAAUGCACAGACAACACACACAAAAAGAAGAGCGUCCUGGAAACAAAACCUCCAGGAAAAGAACAACAACAGACAUUUUCUGGCACAAAGGAGAAGGUUAGGAACCCACAGGCUUUUGUGACUACGGGUAGCAAGUUAAGAUGCUGGCUCUGCCCUGUGGCCCUUUUGAGGACACGGGGCUUUCUAGCAGGACUGACGUCCAGCCUUGACUGCCUAUCAAAUUGUCCAUUCAUCCCCUUAGAGGUGUUCUCUCAUUUGACAAUACAAAAGAAAACAGUCCAGGGUGUCCACAAUCCAUUGAAGCAAUUAAAUAUUUUUGAAAGUAUAUACAUCUUCACUAGUAUUCAUAACAUAAGGCAUCUUACCUUAAAAUACAUGCACACAUGCUCACCCAUACACACACACACACAUCAAACAACAAAGCUGCUAUUUGCCUACCCAAAAGAAGCAGGUGGGACCCUGAGAGGGAAGAGUUAAUGAAUGGCCCUCACCUUAGGACAUCUCUGAACCACACUGUUGUCACCUGACCAUUUGUGACCUGCUUAAGGUCAUUUGACUGGAGAUAGCAGCCUGACAAGAUAAAUCUGCUUCUGUGUCUAGGCCCUCCCCUAACCAUCUGUUCUCUUUAAGAAACACAGGCCUGUGGAGGUGUCCGUAGACUGCAGUGGAUGGGACCCCAGGGAACACGGCCAUCUGUUCCUUUUCCUUAAGCCUACACUUAAGUCAUAAUAUUGAAGAUGUGACGUCAUUCCCUUCUAUGACGUCAUAAAACAUCUCCGUACAACAUGGACGCAAGCAGAGAACCAAAUCACACGGGAGGAAGGUGCUUAUUCAAAUACAGAUAAUGGGGAAUGUGUAAAAUAAAUACAUGCCAAUCUGAA
Sus scrofa (pig) is the source of this 1237-nucleotide non-coding RNA. NCBI's taxonomy places the organism in Eukaryota, Metazoa, Chordata, Mammalia, Artiodactyla, Suidae. The record is from RefSeq and is a predicted model, not a curated record.